GAUGAACGCUGGCGGCGUGCCUAAUACAUGCGAGUCGAGCGAACAGACGAGGAGCUUGCUCCUCUGACGUUAGCGGCGGACGGGUGAGUAACACGUGGAUAACCUACCUAUAAGACUGGGAUAACUUCGGGAAACCGGAGCUAAUACCGGAUAAUAUAUUGAACCGCAUGGUUCAAUAGUGAAAGACGGUUUUGCUGUCACUUAUAGAUGGAUCCGCGCCGCAUUAGCUAGUUGGUAAGGUAACGGCUUACCAAGGCAACGAUGCGUAGCCGACCUGAGAGGGUGAUCGGCCACACGGGAACUGAAACACGGUCCAGACCCCUAGGGAGGCAGCAGUAGGGAAUCUUCCGCAAUGGGCGAAAGCCUGACGGAGCAACGCCGCGUGAGUGAUGAAGGUCUUCGGAUCGUAAAACUCUGUUAUUAGGGAAGAACAAAUGUGUAAGUAACUAUGCACGUCUUGACGGUACCUAAUCAGAAAGCCACGGCUAACUACGUG
RNAcentral lists this ribosomal RNA (496 nucleotides) under uncultured bacterium. RNAcentral describes it as "partial 16S ribosomal RNA". It matches the Rfam family "Bacterial small subunit ribosomal RNA", at positions 28 to 507 of the family's 1533-position model. The record is from RNAcentral.